UCAAAAGCAUUGACCCAAUGUAAACUUAGGGGUUAAGUUUAAAUUCCAACUGGUAGGAUACCAAUGCAUGUCAUAAGACUAACACUAUUGUUUUCUGCUCUCUAUAGGACAGUCGGGAAGACGACCUUCAGGUUGAUUUGGAGCAGGUGACCAUGGCGGUAUUUUCCAUUCGACAAGAAGGAUGUGUCGAACUUCCUCCGGAGGACAUUGGUAUCGUUAUCGAAGGCGUAACAGUCUUAAAUGGACUCAGCUCUGUCCCAUCUGCUUGUGCCCUGCUGCUCGGCUUGAUCUACAUUCUCAAUCUUGCCUACCCUAAAAGCCUCCGUUACACUUUCGAGGUUUUCCAGAAAGUUUUUAUGGAGCUAGAUUCUCAGAAAAUGUCCCCAAAAGUUCAUACACUAUUAGGAAAACUGCAAAGUGCAGAUUAAUGGUCAUCUUAAGCCUAUGUACAUAUUUUUGCAUUCAGUGUUAAAAAAUUUUUAUAAAGCUGAAAGUGUUUAAGAAGUUUGAAAAAAGAAGCACUUUGUAAUCCUCCAGAACGUAACAGGACAGAAGUCUCCUGUUUUUUUUUUUUCUCUUCUUUAGAUUGGAUCGUUUAUUGCUGGCACAGGGCAAUCUGAACUGAACUGCAACUCUUGCAUGUGAUUAUAGUCAUGGAGGCUGUACAACUGUAAUGUUCUGUUGUGAGAUAAUUUGACGUUACUGUUACAAAUAAACAAUUUGCAG
Molecule: long non-coding RNA, 726 nt
Organism: Sphaeramia orbicularis (orbiculate cardinalfish)
Lineage: Eukaryota; Metazoa; Chordata; Actinopteri; Kurtiformes; Apogonidae
Exons: 2
Source: RefSeq, a predicted model, not a curated record